This is a small nuclear RNA of Jaculus jaculus (lesser Egyptian jerboa), 103 nucleotides long. The record is from Ensembl. NCBI's taxonomy places the organism in Eukaryota, Metazoa, Chordata, Mammalia, Rodentia, Dipodidae.
GUGAUUGCUUUGACAACAUAUAUAAUGAAAUUGGGAUCAUACAUGAUUAGCACGGCCCCUGUGCAAAGAUAGUAUGGGAAUUUGUGAAAGUGUCCAUAUGUUU